RNAcentral lists this non-coding RNA (29 nucleotides) under Mus musculus (house mouse). Lineage: Eukaryota; Metazoa; Chordata; Mammalia; Rodentia; Muridae. The record is from RNAcentral.
UGAAAAGACAGGACCUAGUGUUGGAGUGU